AUGCCUGAAUAGCUCAUGAGCAUCACGAUUGGGUGUUCACAUGUAUGUGUGAGUUGUGCCACCUUCGAAUCUCAUUAGAUGUUGGCACAUUAUCUGUCAGACU
Small nucleolar RNA from Callithrix jacchus (white-tufted-ear marmoset), 103 nucleotides. Lineage: Eukaryota; Metazoa; Chordata; Mammalia; Primates; Cebidae. The record is from Ensembl.